Molecule: ribosomal RNA, 543 nt
Filed under: uncultured bacterium
Lineage: Bacteria
Description: bacterial SSU rRNA
Rfam family: Bacterial small subunit ribosomal RNA
Source: RNAcentral
GGGAGGCAGCAGUAGGGAAUAUUGGACAAUGGGCGAAAGCCUGAUCCAGCAAUACCGCGUGAGUGAUGAAGGCCCUAGGGUUGUAAAGCUCUUUCAGUUGGGAAGAUAAUGACGGUACCAACAGAAGAAGCCCCGGCUAACUACGUGCCAGCAGCCGCGGUAAGACGUAGGGGGCUAGCGUUGUUCGGAAUUACUGGGCGUAAAGCGCGCGCAGGCGGUCUAUCAAGUUGGGAGUGAAAGCCCGGGGCUCAACCUCGGAACUGCUCUCAAAACUGGUAGACUAGAGUUUGGUAGGGGAUGAUGGAAUUCCUAGUGUAGAGGUGAAAUUCUUAGAUAUUAGGGGGAACACCGGAGGCGAAGGCGAUCAUCUGGACCAAUACUGACGCUGAGGCGCGAAAGCGUGGGUAGCAAACAGGAUUAGAUACCCUGGUAGUCCACGCCGUAAACGAUGAGUGCUAGAUAUCGGGUGUUUUACAUUCGGUCUCGAAGCUAACGCGUUAAGCACUCCGCCUGGGGAGUACGGCCGCAAGGUUAAAACUCAAA